UGCCUUAUAGUGGGGGAUAGCCUUUCGAAAGGAAGAUUAAUACCGCAUAAGAUCGUAGUAUCGCAUGAUAUAGCAAUUAAAGGAGCAAUCCGCUAUAAGAUGGACCCGCGUCGCAUUAGCUAGUUGGUGAGGUGAUGGCUCACCAAGGCGACGAUGCGUAGCCGACCUGAGAGGGUGAUCGGCCACAUUGGGACUGAGACACGGCCCAGACUCCUACGGGAGGCAGCAUG
Molecule: ribosomal RNA, 230 nt
Filed under: uncultured bacterium
Lineage: Bacteria
Description: partial 16S ribosomal RNA
Rfam family: Bacterial small subunit ribosomal RNA
Source: RNAcentral